This 476-nucleotide ribosomal RNA is filed under the name uncultured bacterium. RNAcentral describes it as "bacterial SSU rRNA". It matches the Rfam family "Bacterial small subunit ribosomal RNA", at positions 327 to 793 of the family's 1533-position model. The record is from RNAcentral.
ACUCGUAGACUCCUACGGGAGGCAGCAGGAAGGAAUAUUGGGCAAUGGGCGAAAGCCUGACCCAGCGACGCCGCGUGAAGGAUGAAGGCCUUCGGGUUGUAAACUUCUAACAAGUGUUAGUAAGGCCACGUAUAAUAAUACGAUAUGUGGAUAGAAAAAAGCACCGGAUGAAGUCAUGGCUAACUCUGUGCCAGCAGCCGCGGUAAUACAGAGAUGGCAACCGUUGUUCGGAAUCACUGGGCUUAAAGAGCACGUAGGCGGAAAGUUAAGUUGGAUGUGAAAUCCCAUGGCUUACCCAUGGAACUGCAUUCAAAACUGAUUUUCUUGAGAGCAGAAGGGGAGAGUGGAACUCCUGGUGGAGCGGUGAAAUGCGUUGAUAUUAGGAGGAACGCCGGUGGCGAAAGCGACUCUCUGGUCUGCGUCUGACGCUGAGGUGCGAAAGCUAGGGGAGCAAACAGGAUUAGAUACCCUGGUAG